AGUCUAGUGGCCUAGUGGAUAGGAUGAUUGACUGUAGAUCAAAAGGUUCGAUCCCCAGCUCCACUA
This is a non-coding RNA of Danionella cerebrum, 66 nucleotides long. The record is from the annotation of a GenBank genome assembly. NCBI's taxonomy places the organism in Eukaryota, Metazoa, Chordata, Actinopteri, Cypriniformes, Danionidae.